This 874-nucleotide ribosomal RNA is filed under the name Chloridium gonytrichii. RNAcentral's name for it is "partial large subunit ribosomal RNA". It matches the Rfam family "Eukaryotic large subunit ribosomal RNA", at positions 87 to 995 of the family's 3401-position model. The record is from RNAcentral. Lineage: Eukaryota; Fungi; Ascomycota; Sordariomycetes; Chaetosphaeriales; Chaetosphaeriaceae.
CGGCGAGUGAAGCGGCAACAGCUCAAAUUUGAAAUCUGGCCCUAGGCCCGAGUUGUAAUUUGCAGAGGAUGCUUCGGGCGCGGUGCCUUCCAAGUCCCCUGGAACGGGGCGCCGGAGAGGGUGAGAGCCCCGUACGGUUGGCGGCCAAGCCUGUGUGAAGCUCCUUCGACGAGUCGAGUAGUUUGGGAAUGCUGCUCUAAGCGGGAGGUAGACCCCUUCUAAAGCUAAAUAUAGGCCAGAGACCGAUAGCGCACAAGUAGAGUGAUCGAAAGAUGAAAAGCACUUUGAAAAGAGGGUUAAAUAGCACGUGAAAUUGUUGAAAGGGAAGCGCUUGUGACCAGACGUGCGCCGGGGUGUUCAGCGGGCGUUCUCGCCCGUGCACUCGCCUCGGCGCAGGCCAGCGUCGGUUCGAGUGGGAGGAUAAAGGCGUCUGGAAUGUGGCUCCUCCGGGAGUGUUAUAGCCAGACGUGCCAUGCUCCCGCCCGGACCGAGGUACGCGUUCUGCAAGGACGCUGGCGUAAUGGUCUCCAGCGACCCGUCUUGAAACACGGACCAAGGAGUCGAGGUUUUGCGCGAGUGUUUGGGUGUUAAACCCGCACGCGUAAUGAAAGUGAACGUAGGUGGGAGCUUCGGCGCACCACCGACCGAUCCUGAUGUUUUCGGAUGGAUUUGAGUAAGAGCGUAGGGCCUCGGACCCGAAAGAUGGUGAACUAUGCUUGGAUAGGGUGAAGCCAGAGGAAACUCUGGUGGAGGCUCGCAGCGGUUCUGACGUGCAAAUCGAUCGUCAAAUCUGAGCAUGGGGGCGAAAGACUAAUCGAACCAUCUAGUAGCUGGUUACCGCCGAAGUUCCCUCAGGAUAGCAGUGUUGUUCUUC